GGGGGCGUAAUGGUUUCGACGGGGAUUUUGAAGUAUGGUAAGCGAGUUGAGGAGUAUGACCUCUAUAAAACAUAACAUUUUUAAAAAUAAACGCUAACGAAAAUUUAGCUUUUGCUGCUUAAUUAAGCAGCCGUUCAACUAGGCAGUACCACGGGCUUAGAUUGGGCGUCGAUUAGUGGUGAACGACACUGACGAGUUUCUCGGCGUUUUUGUUGUAUUAGAGAAUACCAAGCAAUUCAGCCUGUUUGUCGGCGGUUUUGCAAGGGAAUGCAAAUGACAAAAUACACUCGUAGAAAGCUGUAUGGAUAGAUUUUCGGACACGGGUUCGACUCCCGUCGCCUCCACCA
RNAcentral lists this transfer-messenger RNA (347 nucleotides) under Oscillospiraceae bacterium. It matches the Rfam family "transfer-messenger RNA". From Rfam's summary of the family: Bacterial tmRNA, also known as 10Sa RNA or SsrA, is named for its dual tRNA and mRNA-like properties. Lineage: Bacteria; Bacillati; Bacillota; Clostridia; Eubacteriales; Oscillospiraceae. The record is from RNAcentral.